Non-coding RNA from Genlisea aurea, 86 nucleotides. The record is from Rfam. NCBI's taxonomy places the organism in Eukaryota, Viridiplantae, Streptophyta, Magnoliopsida, Lamiales, Lentibulariaceae.
AGAGAAUUGACCGAGUGGUUUAAGGUGAUAAGCUUGAAACUUAUUUGGUUUUAUAGAUCGCAUCCGUUCGAAUCGGAUAUUCUCUG